Molecule: ribosomal RNA, 1706 nt
Filed under: Microcanthus strigatus (stripey)
Lineage: Eukaryota; Metazoa; Chordata; Actinopteri; Centrarchiformes; Kyphosidae
Description: 16S rRNA
Rfam family: Bacterial large subunit ribosomal RNA (bases 106-1625)
Source: RNAcentral
AGCCAACUAGCUAGCCCCAUCAUUACCGAGACCGAAAACAACCAUCUAUAUUAAUAACCCCAAAUUCACGAAUGCCCCCACUUAACAAACCAUUUUACCCCUCUAGUAUGGGCGACAGAAAGAGACUUAGGGAGCUAUAGAGUAAGUACCGUAAGGGAACGCUGAAAGAGUAGUGAAACAGCUCAGUAAAGCUUAGAAAAGCAGAGAUUCAGGCUCGUACCUUUUGCAUCAUGAUUUAGCAAGAACUAUCCAAGCAAAGAGCCCUUUAGUUUGACUUCCCGAAACUGGGUGAGCUACUCCAAGACAGCCUAUUAAUAGGGCAAACCCGUCCCUGUGGCAAAAGGGUGGGAAGAGCUUCGAGUAGGGGUGACAGACCUAUCGAACCCAGUUAUAGCUGGUUGCCUGAGAAAUGGAUAGAAGUUCAGCCUCUUAGCUUCUCAUUUCAACUCCGCCUGGCCCGUCCCGACACCUAGAGAAACUAAGAGAGUUAGCCAAAGGGGGAACAGCUCCUUUGGAAUAAGAUACAACUUUACCAGGAGGGUAAAGAUCAUAAUAAGCCAAGGCAAAAUGUUCUAGUGGGCCUAAAAGCAGCCACCUAAUAGAAAGCGUUAAAGCUCAGACAUACUACCCUACCCUAUUAUCCCGAUAAUUAAAUCUUAACCCCCUCAUCCUACCAGGCCGUCCCAUGCAAACAUGGGAGUGACCAUGCUAAUAUGAGUAAUAAGAGAGCCCUAAGCCUCUCUCCUUGCACACGUGUAAAUCGCAAUGGACCAACCACCGAACUUUAACGGCCCCAAAAAAAGAGGGAACUGAACAACAGACCAAACAACCAGAAAACCACUCAACAACACAACCGUUACCCCCACACUGGCGUGCCCCUAAGGAAAGACUAAAAGAAAAAGAAGGAACUCGGCAAACACAUAAAGCCUCGCCUGUUUACCAAAAACAUCGCCUCUUGCAAAAUUAAUGAAUAAGAGGUCCCGCCUGCCCUGUGACUAUAUGUUUAACGGCCGCGGUAUUCUGACCGUGCGAAGGUAGCGCAAUCACUUGUCUUUUAAAUGAAGACCCGUAUGAAUGGCAUAACGAGGGCUUAACUGUCUCCUUUUUCAGGUCAAUGAAUUUGAUCUUCCCGUGCAGAAGCGGGGAUAAAACCAUAAGACGAGAAGACCCUAUGGAGCUUUAGACACCAAGACAGCUCAAAGUUAAGCACCCCUGAAUAAAGGACUAAAUGUAUUGAAACCUGCCCUAAUGUCUUCGGUUGGGGCGACCGCGGGGAAACAAAUAACCCCCAUGUGGAAUAGAGACACCCUCUCCUAAAACAGAGAGCUCCCGCUCUAAUGAACAGAACCUUUCUGACCAGUAAGAUCCGGCAGAGCCGAUCAACGGACCAAGUUACCCUAGGGAUAACAGCGCAAUCCCCUUUUAGAGCCCAUAUCGACAAGGGGGUUUACGACCUCGAUGUUGGAUCAGGACAUCCUAAUGGAGCAGCCAUUAUUAAGGGUUCGUUUGUUCAACGAUUAAAGUCCUACGUGAUCUGAGUUCAGACCGGAGUAAUCCAGGUCAGUUUCUAUCUAUGACAUGAACUUUUCUAGUACGAAAGGACCGAAAAGAAGAGGCCCAUACUCAAAGUACGCCUCACCCCCACCUAAUGAAAAAAACUAAAAUAGGCAAAAGGGCAUGUCCCUUGAUGCCUAAGAAAAUGGCAU